This is a long non-coding RNA of Piliocolobus tephrosceles (Ugandan red Colobus), 2370 nucleotides long. The record is from Ensembl. Lineage: Eukaryota; Metazoa; Chordata; Mammalia; Primates; Cercopithecidae.
AUGAAGAAAAUUGCGCAACCAGAUAUAACUAACGAGAACGAAUAUAAAGAAGAAUGUAUAUUUACUUCAAUUGAUAUUUUUAGUGGACCUCAUAAUUUUUUAAAUUUAUAUUAUAUAUGUGAAAUAGUUUUUAAUGAUUUCAAUUUUGUGUCACCUUAUCAUUGUUAUUUUUUUUUACGAAAUAAAUAUGAACACAUAGAAAAGGUUAAAGAAAAUUUUAUACAAAACACAAGUUCUACUGUUUCUAAUUACGACCACAUACAUAUAAUACAAGAAAAAAAAGCUAUUAAACUAUUUCAAAAUGAAAAUGCAUUUUAUUAUGAUGACAAUGACUUAACUACUUCGAGAAGAGCAAUUUGCGAGACCCUGAUUAAUGUAAUAAACUUAUUAACUACUAAUGAUUUAAUGGCUAUUUCUCCCUAUUUUAACGAGAACCCUGUAUGGAAUACAAAUAGGCUAAGAUGGGUAGAUGCUAUGCAAAGAGACAAAUUUCGGAAGUAUGAAAAACUGCGUGAGAGCCUAAAACAAACGGGUAAACGUGAAAUAGUAUAUAAAGUUAAUGAUGAGGAUAUUGAAAAAGUAUAUAAUAAGAAUAUGAUUAAUGAUUUUUAUUUUUUUGGUGUUUAUAAUAGAAAAGGGCAAAACCAAUUAGGUCGAAUUUAUAUGAACAUACGAAAUGAUAUUUUAAAUAAUACAGAAAUAUAUUCUUGGCUAUUAUUAAAUUGUAAUAUGCAAACGGAUAAAAAUUUAGUCGCAAAUGUUUUUAUAACAGAAACAUACUUUGAAAAAAAGUGCACACAUGAGGAUGAAGAUAGUGACAGUGAUAAUAGCGCCGACCAAAUUACUAAUACUUCUAAACAUGUGACGAACGGCUCAUCAUUAUAUAACACAAAUUCACAAACAGACAAGAAUUAUAAAUUAGAAGAAAAAACGAAAAAUUAUUCCUUUGUUGCAAAAGAAUACAUAUCGUUUGGUAAAAAUGACAUGAAUGAUAUUAUUUGUUUGAACCCAUCCAUUUCUAGAUUCCAUUGUAUAUUAUAUUUUGCUAAAAAUUAUUUUCUUUAUUUGAUAGAUGUAGGAUCUAAAUCAAGAACCAAAUUAAAUGGAAACGUGUGUAAAAUAAAUGAAAAGUAUAAAAUAAUGAGUAAUGAUAUUAUUACCUUGGGUGUAUCUAAACGAACAUAUAAAAUUAACAUAAACAUUAAUAAAGUUUUAUCUUAUCUUAAAAAUAAAAAAAACGAAAUAAAUAAAAAAAUGAAUACAAUAAGCAAAGAAAUACGACACCCAUUAGAAACAAACAAAUCACUUAAACUUAAAAUUAGUAAUAUAUACUACAAGUGUAAUGAUAAUGAUGUAGUAGAUUAUUUUAAAGAUUGUGGUGAAAUUAAAAAAAUAUAUAUGUAUAACGUUCCGUCUAAAAAAAAAACAGACUCAAGUUUUAACAGUGGCGAUGAUAAUCAUACAGAGAAUAUGAACGUACGUAAUAAUACCAUCAGUUCUGAUGAUUUUAAAAAAGGUAAUUAUGUAAAAUGUGCAUUAAUAGAAGUACAUGAUGAAUUGACGUCUGAUAAUAUCAUGCGUAAAAAUAAUUGUUUUUUAUAUGGACGGAAAAUACAUAUUACGUAUCAAAAUCCGCAAGUAAAUAACCCACGAUGUUUUAAAAAAGAUUAUACGAAAGGAACACGUGGGGAUGGGUCAAAGUCAGGACCGAUCGUAGAAACAGAAGUAGGGCCAACAUCUAGACCAACAUCUAGACCAACAUCUAGACCAACAUCAAGACCAACAUCAAGACCAACAUCUAGACCAACAUCUAGACCAACAUCUAGACCAACAUCUAGACCAAUAGCAAAUAUUGAAGUUACGUGCAAAAGUAGAAAAUACUUUGGAGAAAAAAUCAUAGUAGCAGAUAGUAGUUACAAUAAUAGAACAAGUCAAACAUUACAUUAUUAUAAAGAAAAGCAUAACAAGAAGGUACAAAGAAAAAGUAUUAAAAGUGAAAACGGUAGUAAAAGGCAUUUAGAAAAACCUAAAAUGAAAAUAUAUAGAAAAAGAAAAAGGAGUUUAUUAAAAAGGGAAAUUGGAUCACGCGAAAGGUGUUGGAGCAGAGACCGGAGUAUGAGAAAAAACGUAAGUGGGGGUAGAGUUAGGGUUAGGAAAAAAAAUAUGCGAAAAAGUGGCGGUAGAAGUAGUAGUAUGAGUAGAAAUAGGAGUGACAGUAUAAAUAGUAGUAGUAGCAGAAAUAGCAGUAAAAGUGAUAGUAGACAUAGUAGCAGAAGUAAUAGCAGAAGGAAUAGCAGAAGUAGUAGUAGAAGUUAAAGCAUAAAACAAUGUGUCAAUAAAAAAAAAAAAAGUAUUGUAAAAAUUAUUACA